GUCCGCCAGAGAACUACAAACAAACAUUUGAAACUCAAAGGACUUGACGGUGUCCCAUAUCAACCUAGAGGAGCCUGUCCUACAAUCGAUACUCCACGUUUUACCUCACCCACUCUUGCAAAUCAACCUAUAUACCGCCGUCGCCAGCCGGCCUGAUGACAGCCCGCCGACAAAACAGCAAACACAAAAACGUCAGGUCAAGGUGUAGUUAAUGAGUGGGCAGAGAUGGGCUACAUUUCCCACAAUAGGAAACCACCUACCACAGUUAUGAAAUUACGUAUCAAGGCGGAUUUAGCAGUAAGCCGGGACAAGAUAUGCCACCCUGAA
Molecule: ribosomal RNA, 327 nt
Filed under: Pachydactylus oshaughnessyi
Lineage: Eukaryota; Metazoa; Chordata; Lepidosauria; Squamata; Gekkonidae
Description: partial 12S ribosomal RNA
Rfam family: Bacterial small subunit ribosomal RNA
Source: RNAcentral